Molecule: RNA transcript, 5521 nt
Organism: Eriocheir sinensis (Chinese mitten crab)
Lineage: Eukaryota; Metazoa; Arthropoda; Malacostraca; Decapoda; Varunidae
Gene name: bestrophin-2-like
Exons: 10
Source: RefSeq, a predicted model, not a curated record
ACCACCGCCACCGCCACCAGCCGCUCCAUCCUCCACCAUCUUCCGUGUCCCUCCCUCGCUCAGUCUCCCAGCACAACACGUUACGGGAACACCCUCGGUCACGCAGCCUUCUCUCUCGCGUAGCAGCCCCGCCCACCUGCGCUCGAUCUCGCCUCACCUGUGCUUUUACCUGUUACGACCCACAAGGAGCUUAGGGGAUCUUGAAGCACCUGUAUACCUGGCUGGCUUCAACGUGUCUCGGCAUAGUGUUGAGAAGAUCUUUGGAUUUUUGUGCUCCGCCUCCUGUGUCUUUCUUCUUCCGCAGCGGGGCGUGUGUGGGCUGAGCCUCCUCCACAAUGACCGUCACCUACACCACCAAAGUCAGCAACACCAGCUUCUGUGGGUUCUCCAAGCUCCUCUUCAGGUGGCGCGGCAGUGUCUUCAAGCUCCUGGCCGCCGACUUGAUGGUGUAUUUUCUGCUGUACUUCACCGUCGCCGCCGUCUACAGGUUCGCCCUGAAAGAAAACGAGAAGAGGAUAUUCGAGAAGAUCGCCAUCUCCUGUGAGUACUUCCGCAACGUGUUCCCCAUCUCCUUCGUGCUGGGCUUCUACGUGACCAUCGUGGUGCAGCGCUGGUGGGAACAGUACAUGCUCAUCCCCUGGCCUGAUACCGUCUGCAUCCUGGCCUCCACCUACAUAGAGGGACAGGACGAGAGAGGGAGAUUUCUAAGACGCUCCUUCGCUCGAUAUAUCAACCUCGCCUUCGCCCUCGCCUUCGCCCGGAUCUCCCCCCGCGUGGCCCGCCGUCUGUCCUCCUACCAGAAGUACAUAGACGCAGGCUACAUGACGCAGGACGAGCGAGUGAUCUUCGAAAUGAUGGACUCGUGCACGUCCCACCACAAGAUUUGGAUGCCCCUCGUGUGGGCGUCCCUCAUCGUGCGGCAGGCGCGGAGGGAAGGCCGCUGCCCAGACGACCACGGCCAGAAGGCGGUGGUGACGGAGAUUACAAACUUGAGGUACAACUGUGGGAAGCUCCAAGAGUACCACACCAUGAGCGUCCCCUUGGUGUACACGCAGGUGGUGACUCUGGCUACCUACUCCUUCUUCGCUUUCUCUAUCAUCGGGCGGCAGUUCCUAGACCCCGAGCAAGGCUACGACAACCACUCCGUCGACUUCUACGUGCCCAUCUUCACCCUCCUGCAGUUCGUCUUCUACGUGGGUUGGCUCAAGGUGGCCGAGUCCCUCCUCAACCCCUUCGGUGAUGAUGACGAUGAUUUUGAGACGCUGGAGUUCCUUGAUCGCCACUUGGAGGUCUCCUACAUGAUCGUGGACAGCAUGCACAAGCUCUCCCCCGACGUGUUGCAUCCACCAGGCACUAAAGAAGUCGUGCUGCCCAUGAACAGUAGCCUCUGUCGCCCACACCCCGCCGACUCCCACCUGACCAGCAAGACAUCUUCCCUCAACGGCCGGUCAGAGGGGGAGAAGGGACUGUCCAGCUGUUGCCUCCAGUGGCGGCGGCGCGCGAGGAGCUGCAGCAGACCAGCCCGCCUCAGCCACAACGGCGAGGCGCCCUACCUUGACAUUCACGCCGGUGCCCCACUAACCCCGUCAGGUACCCCCGCACACCUGCCUCCAGCCCUUCCCCUCACCCCGCCACACACCCCUCACUCCUCCCUCUUGGCGCCGGUGUUCAGGCCCUUCAUCCUUGUUCCCUACGCAGCCCAUUCACCCCGUAAGGUACUCCCACACACCUGGCUCUACCCCUUCCCCUCACCCCGCCACACACCCCUACCCCUCGGCUCCGGCCCCUUUAUCCUGAUCCCCUUCAUGCCUUACUUUGCCUUGCCUCACCUUUGUGUAAAAUGUUACCUCACUCUAUAUCCUGCCUUACUUUGCCUCUCCCCUCCCCCCCUUCCGCCUCCCCUCCCCUAACUCCCUCUUCCUUCUCCCUUCCCCUCCCCUCGCUCCUCAAUGAUAUUGGUGUAAAAUAUUUUCCCAUUCUCUUUCUCCGCUAAACAAGUAGGUCAAAUUCACUGCUCUCCUUCCCCUCGCUGAGUCUCCUUGCUCCUCAAAAGUGUUUUCACAAGUGUAGGAACUGUUUGUGAGGAAAAGUUUCAAUUAAUCUCUCUCUCUCUCUCUCUCUCUCUCUCUCUCUCUCUCUCUCUCUCUCUCUCUCUCUCUCUCUCGUAUAAAAAGACUCUCCCUUCCAAUGGUCUCCCUAACAGCCUUGCGUCUCUCCCUCCUCCGUCUCAUCUCCCUUCGUUUAAAAAGACCCUGUCCUCUAAGAAAUUUAUCCAUUCGUUACAACCUUACCUCCCUCCCUCCCUCCCUCCGCCAGUCGUUCCCUUUACUUUCAUCUCCUUCCCCUUGUCUUUCGGCUUUGUCCUGAAAAAUUGUUGCUGUCCCUUAAGCUGCCUUCCCUCUCAUCCUCUUCCUCCUCAUCGUCAUCUUGUACUCAUCCCUCCACUCCUCCUCCUCCUCCAUUUGCCUUCCCUUUCAUUCUCUCCCUUCUCAUCUUCUACCUUUCACCCAUCCCGCUACCCCCUCCCUUCCUCCUUCUCCCCGUUCCCUCCUCCCCCUCCCAUCCGUCCCUCCAUCAUUUUCAGCCUAAACUCUUCCACACACACUCUACGGUAUCUUCCACCCCUUGUUCACUAGCAGCUUCUUUCCCUGCUCCUACUUCUUGUGACCUCUCUUGCUUUGAAUCGCCGCGUAUCGUAUCGUAAUCGUAUCUGUCUAUUUCCUUUUGACGUUCUCUUCUACCUAAUCACACUCCUAUUUCCCUUGUCCCUCCAUCCCUGGUUUGCCUCCAUCUCCUCUUCUUCCUUUCUUUCCUCUCCGUGUCCCUCCCUUUCUCGUUCACUUUCAUCUCUCCCUCCUUUGUACCUUCCCUUCACUGUUCCUUCACGCCUCGUUCACUUCAAUCUUCUCUUUCGUCACUCCAUGUCUCUCCAUUCCUAGGUCGCUUCCAACUUCUCUUUUCUUUCUCUCCCCACUGUUACGCCUCCGUGGGGCAGUGGUUGGGGUGCCUGACUAUGACCCCGCGGACCCGGGUUCGAAUACCGGCCCGGGCAGUCGGCGUGCAGCUCACCCAGCUGUUCAGCCUCCCUUUCGGGCUGGUCGGAAAAUGGGAGCCUAGGGAAACCUGGGGAGCUGUGGCAAUCCGGACUUCACAUUGGCCCGCGUCCCGGGGCAACUGGUUCUUAUCCACCACAGGCUCAAAGGGCCAGCGGUACGGAGAUGAGCACCGCAGCCACGCGCACCUGCAGCGCAGGCACCCACCUUUACCUGUACUGUUCCUGUCCCUUCAUUCUUGUUCGCCUCCAUCUAAUCUCCUUUCCCUCCCAUCUCUCCUCCCUUGCCCUUCAUUUCUCGUUCCUCCCUCUUUUUCCUCCUUCCCAUGUCCCUCCAAUCCUCGUUUACCUCCGCCUUCUUCUCUUUCCCUCCCUCUGUCCCUUGAUCUCUCCUUCACAUCCAGCCUCCUUCCUUUCCCUCCUACCGUCCCUUCACCCCCGCCCCCCGCCAGUACCGUGCCGCACACAACACACCUCCCGUUUUCUGUCAUCGCGGUGUGAGGACAAUAUCGGCGGAAAUUUUAUCGUUAAAAUCCACACUCGCGUUUGACUUUGAUUUUUACAAAACGGCAUUCAUUUUUUCACUCCUUCAUCCUUCGCCUUAUAGUUAACGAGCGUAGACUUGCGCGUUUUGUGGGUAACGAAAAUAUCAUAAUAUAGGAACAGAAGAUAAAUAAUAAAAAAAGCUAAAUAUAAAAAUCAUUAGUCUUGUCUAUAUUAACGAAUUCGUCCUCAGACUAAACAUAAAAUCAUAUCUACUUUUUACUAUUAUCCUUAUAGCUCUUUGCCGUUAACACAAAGCAUCUUACUUUUUAAAUAGUAACUAACUUAAUUUCGUAUGCGUUUUUAAAGCAUUGUGUUUACCUAAAACUAUAACUAAGUUAUUCACUAUUCUCCAUGUAAAUAUUUGUGUGAUUACUCUUGGCAUUCUUAUUUCUUAUAAUAUAAUAGUUGAACUUUAACUUAAUUUGGCAACCUUUUUUAAUUUACUGCGGUCUGUUGCUUCCUGGAACAGCUGUUCCAGGAAGUCUUUUACUGUCUUUUCCUGAUAUCCUUCUAAUUAUUAAUGACAAACCCUGAACAUAAUUUUAUUGAACAAUUAUUGUAAUUUUUAUUUUUGAUUUCAAAAGUAUUGUGGUCAGUCGCUGACCGGAAUAUUCGUUCUCUAUUCAUAUGUAAACAAUAAAAAAAUGUUUACAAAUAAAGUUUCGACCACACUAUAUGCAUGUACACAAUGUUAUGUUGGAUACUAGUAUUGUUGUAUUAAAGUUGCUUCCCUUUAGCUGUCAUUCCUGUCAUGCUUUUGUUUUAAACUUGUUUAUACUGUCAUCAACAUGAGGCAUGACCCAGCUUAGUAUGGCAUAACCUAGCUCAGCGUGGGAUGACCAAGUUUACUGAGGUCUGACCUAGCUCAGAGUGACAGGAUAUAGAUUACUUUAGCAUGACCUUGCAUAACAUAGCAUGACCCAGCUUAGUAUGACAUGACCUACCUUAAUAAGGCAUGAACUAGCUUAAUAUGGAAGGACCUACCUUAUUAAGGCAUAACCUAGCUCAAUUUGGCAUUAACUACCUUAAUAUGGCAUGACCUAACUUGGUGUGGCAUGACCUAGCUUAGUGUGGCAUGAUCUAGCUUAGUGUGGCAUGACCUAGAUUAGUCUGGCAUGAUCUAACUCAGUGCGGUAUGACCUAGCUUAGUUUGCCAUGGCAUAACUAAUAUAGCAUUACCUCGCUUAGCAUGGCAUGAUCUAGCUAAGUGUGGCAUGACAUAGCUUACCAUGCCAUGACAUAGCUUAGUGUGUCAUGCCCUUGUUUAAUAUGACGUAACCUGGCUGGGUAUAACAUGACCUAACAUGCACUCUUCUUUUGUGGUGGCAUUUAGCCUUAAAUAAUUCCUUUUGUGUUCUCGAAAGAAUUUAUUACUAGUUUUUCAAUGCUGCCUCUACUGACAAUCCAUGGGUCUGAAACUAUAACCGCUCCCAGGAGAAUGCAUCAAUAGUAUUCUCAUUUAUAUGCUGUCUCUAACCUCUUGUGGAGCAUCCAUGAAAGGGUUUAAAGUACAACUUUGAUGUUCUUUCCUAACUCUUUUGCCCGUCUCACAUAGUAAACUGUCCCAAAGAAAAUUGAUUAAUAAUACCCUAGUGAUAUCUAUUCCAACCCCUUUGUUUGCCUAAUGCCAUCAAAUAGGAGAGGAAGGGUGGAAAAGCAGAACGGAUGAGAUGAUUAUUCAGAGAGGUCAGCUGAGAGGGCGGCCAAGAAAAAGGGUCUACAAGGGCUUUCUCGACACUGCAACACUCAGUAACACUUUCCUGGCUCCUUGCAGCGUUACCUGGACUCGCUGGACACUCCGCCUCUUCAAAGUCUCCUACAACUGAGCCCUUCAUCAUCCCUUCCAAGGACAUACAGAUCACCGUCCACACCCCAAUAUAGCCAGGUCAGCGUUCUGCUGCAGGGCGGGAACGCGGGUAAGGG